GAUGCUUUGCUAGAGCUGGUAAAAUGGAACCAAAUCAACUGUGCGAAGGAUUUGGUCCCCUUCAACCAGCUGUAGCUGUGCAUUGAU
Non-coding RNA from Loxodonta africana (African savanna elephant), 87 nucleotides. Lineage: Eukaryota; Metazoa; Chordata; Mammalia; Proboscidea; Elephantidae. The record is from Rfam.